CGCCGGUUAACUUCCUACUCGCCACCCAGCGUUAUUCGGGAGGAGCGCCAAGCGUUAAUCGGAAUUUAUGGGCGUAAAACGCGCGUAGGUGGCUUGAUAAGCUCUGUUGUGACAGCCCCGGGCUCAACCUGGGAACCGGCAUCCGGAUCUGUCAGGCUAGAGUGCAGGAGAGGAAAGGUAGAAUUCCCGAUGUAGCGGUGAAAUGCGUAGAGAUCAGGAGGAAUACCAGUGGCGAAGGCGGCCUUCUGGACUGACACUGACACUGAGGUGCGAAAGCGUGGGUAGCAAACAGGAUUAGAUACCCUGGUAGUCCACGCCGUAAACGAUGUCGACCAGCCGUUGGGUGCCUAGCGCACUUUGUGGCGAAGUUAACGCGAUAAGUCGACCGCCUGGGGAGUACGGCCGCAAGGUUAAAACUCAAAUGAAUUGACGGGGGCCCGCACAAGCGGUGGAGCAUGUGGUUUAAUUCGAUGCAACGCGAAGAACCUUACCUACCCUUGACAUCGACAGAAGCCGAGAGAGAUCUUGGUGUGCCUUCGGGAACUGUCAGACAGGUGCUGCAUGGCUGUCGUCAGCUCGUGUUGUGAAAUGUUGGGUUAAGUCCCGUAACGAGCGCAACCCUUGUCCUUAUUUGCCAGCGCGUAAUGGCGGGAACUCUAAGGAGACUGCCGGUGACAAACCGGAGGAAGGUGGGGACGACGUCAAGUCAUCAUGGCCCUUACGGGUAGGGCUACACACGUGCUACAAUGGCCGGUACAAAGGGCAGCGAGCUCGCGAGAGUCAGCGAAUCCCUUAAAGCCGGUCUCAGUCCGGAUCGGAGUCUGCAACUCGGCUCCGUGAAGUCGGAAUCGCUAGUAAUCGUGAAUCAGAA
RNAcentral lists this ribosomal RNA (871 nucleotides) under uncultured bacterium. Its description in RNAcentral is "bacterial SSU rRNA". It matches the Rfam family "Bacterial small subunit ribosomal RNA", at positions 491 to 1354 of the family's 1533-position model. The record is from RNAcentral.